This 449-nucleotide ribosomal RNA is filed under the name Colletotrichum coccodes. Its description in RNAcentral is "eukaryotic LSU rRNA". The stretch from base 92 to 245 matches the Rfam family "5.8S ribosomal RNA". Lineage: Eukaryota; Fungi; Ascomycota; Sordariomycetes; Glomerellales; Glomerellaceae. The record is from RNAcentral.
CGGCCCUGCCCUCACGGGCGGAGCGCCCGCCGGAGGAUACCAAACUCUAUUUUAACGACGUUUCUUCUGAGUGGCACAAGCAAAUAAUUAAAACUUUCAACAACGGAUCUCUUGGUUCUGGCAUCGAUGAAGAACGCAGCGAAAUGCGAUAAGUAAUGUGAAUUGCAGAAUUCAGUGAAUCAUCGAAUCUUUGAACGCACAUUGCGCCCGCCAGCAUUCUGGCGGGCAUGCCUGUUCGAGCGUCAUUUCAACCCUCAAGCUCUGCUUGGUGUUGGGGCCCUACGGUUGACGUAGGCCCCUUAAAGGUAGUGGCGGACCCUCUCGGAGCCUCCUUUGCGUAGUAACUAACGUCUCGCACUGGGAUUCGGAGGGACUCUUGCCGUAAAACCCCCAAAUUUUUAAAGGUUGACCUCGGAUCAGGUAGGAAUACCCGCUGAACUUAAGCAUAU